AUGCUUUCUUCACCAGCUUAAACACUAAAGUUGGAACGAUGCAGAGAUUAUCAUGACCCCUGCCCAAGAAUGACACACCAAUUCAUGAAGCAUUCCAUCUUUUU
This is a small nuclear RNA of Ochotona curzoniae (black-lipped pika), 104 nucleotides long. Lineage: Eukaryota; Metazoa; Chordata; Mammalia; Lagomorpha; Ochotonidae. The record is from RefSeq and is a predicted model, not a curated record.